This 429-nucleotide ribosomal RNA is filed under the name Chloroflexota bacterium. RNAcentral's name for it is "Chloroflexi bacterium partial 16S ribosomal RNA". It matches the Rfam family "Bacterial small subunit ribosomal RNA", at positions 355 to 776 of the family's 1533-position model. The record is from RNAcentral. RNAcentral also lists the same sequence under 1 other name. Lineage: Bacteria; Bacillati; Chloroflexota.
UAGGGAAUCUUCGGCAAUGGACGAAAGUCUGACCGAGCAACGCCGCGUGAGUGAAGAAGGUUUUCGGAUCGUAAAACUCUGUUGUUAGAGAAGAACAAGGACGUUAGUAACUGAACGUCCCCUGACGGUAUCUAACCAGAAAGCCACGGCUAACUACGUGCCAGCAGCCGCGGUAAUACGUAGGUGGCAAGCGUUGUCCAGAUUUAUUGGGCGUAAAGCGAGCGCAGGCGGUUUCUUAAGUCUGAUGUGAAAGCCCCCGGCUCAACCGGGGAGGGUCAUUGGAAACUGGGAGACUUGAGUGCAGAAGAGGAGAGUGGAAUUCCAUGUGUAGCGGUGAAAUGCGUAGAUAUAUGGAGGAACACCAGUGGCGAAGGCGGCUCUCUGGUCUGUAACUGACGCUGAGGCUCGAAAGCGUGGGGAGCAAACAGG